Molecule: long non-coding RNA, 1064 nt
Organism: Cyprinus carpio carpio
Lineage: Eukaryota; Metazoa; Chordata; Actinopteri; Cypriniformes; Cyprinidae
Source: Ensembl
CGGUUAUUUUUUUAAUUUUAUGAGCAAAUUUUGCAUCAUUUUUGUCAUUUGCAUGCCUUGUAUUUUAACGAACUCCUCCUAGAGAUUUAUUCAGAUCAACACCAAAUUUGGUAUGCCUAAUCUAAAGGCCUUUGCGAUGUUAAAUUGCGAAGAUCUUGAGUUUUCGUUGAAGGGCGUGUCCGUGGCAGCCUGACGAAUUUCGAUGAUUCGCCAUGAAAAAUGAAGUUGCUAUAACUCAGACAUACAAUGUCCAAUCUGCCACAAACUUCACAUGUUUGAUAAGACUCCUGACCUGAACAGAUUGAUAUGCCCAUAUUCAGUUAUAGUCAUAGCGCCACCUACUGGCAACAGGAAGUGACAUAUUUUACACUGUAACAAACUACCCUGAGAAAUUUUAUGACAUACAUUUUUUUUUGCAGUCACUCUAUUCUGAAAGGCCUGUGCGAUGUUAAAUUGUGAAGAUCUUGAGUUUUCGUUAAAGGGCGUGUCCAUGGCGCCGUCACAAAGUUCGAUGUCUCGCCAUGGGAAUAAAAGUUAUUGUAACUCAGGCAUAAAAUGUCCGAUCUUGCCCAAACUUCACAUGUUCGAUAAGACUCCUGACCUGAACAGAUUGAUAUGCCCAUAUUCAGUUAUAGUCAUAGCGCCACCUACUGGCAACAGGAAGUGACAUAUUUUACACUGUAACAAACUACCCCGAGAAAUUUUUAUGACAUACAUUUUUUUUUUUCAGUCACUCUAUUCUAAAGGCCUGUGCGAUGUUAAAUUGUGAAGAUCUUGAGUUUUUCGUUAAAGGGCGUGUCCAUGGCGCCGUCACAAAAUUUGAUGUCUCGCCAUGGGAAUAAAAGUUAUUGUAACUCAGGCAUAAAAUGUCCGAUCUUGCCCAAACUUCACAUGUUCGAUAAGAGUCCUGGCCUGAACACAUCUGAAGGCCAAUAUUCCAUUGGGUGUGGAAAAAUGCCUCGAUAGCGCCACCUAUACAUUUUCAACGGAGUGCGCCUCGAGCUACGUUUCACGUACAUGUACAAAAAAAUCGGUACACACAUGUAACACACCAAUACCUACAA